GCCCCUUUAGCUCAGUCGGUAGAGCUACGGACUUUUAAUCCGAAGAUCCGUAAGUUCCCGCGCUGGGGCC
This 70-nucleotide transfer RNA is filed under the name Segniliparus rotundus DSM 44985. It matches the Rfam family "tRNA". Rfam says of the family: Transfer RNA (tRNA) molecules are approximately 80 nucleotides in length. Their secondary structure includes four short double-helical elements and three loops (D, anti-codon, and T loops). The record is from Rfam by way of RNAcentral. Lineage: Bacteria; Bacillati; Actinomycetota; Actinomycetes; Mycobacteriales; Segniliparaceae.